AAGAUAUAUGUUCAUAUCCUCAGGAUGAAUAUUAACUGGCUGAAGCAGACCUAAGACUCUAAAAGAGGAAGAGGUUUCUAUAACAAAAACGAGUAAAUGCUGAUAUACCUUCAAAAUCUUAAAGAUUCGAGCUUAAUCCACAGCGAAUGAAGUCUACUUUCUCAGUUUCUCUAGUACUCCUCAAGUUGUGGUCUGUAACAUGAAGCUAAGUCAACUGAAACCGCCAAAGCUACAUGAGAGCUAAUGAAGAAGUGUUGGAAUAAGAGAGAGAUAGAUAAACUAUUUGUCUUAAUUGUUCUUAUU
RNA transcript from Arabidopsis thaliana (thale cress), 303 nucleotides. RefSeq lists it as uncharacterized. NCBI's taxonomy places the organism in Eukaryota, Viridiplantae, Streptophyta, Magnoliopsida, Brassicales, Brassicaceae. The transcript has a single exon. The record is from RefSeq.